UACGUAGGGUGCGAGCGUUGUCCGGAAUUAUUGGGCGUAAAGAGCUUGUAGGCGGUUUGUCGCGUCUGCCGUGAAAAUUCGAGGCUCAACCUCGAACUUGCGGUGGGUACGGGCAGACUAGAGGUAUGCAGGGGAGAACGGAAUUCCUGGUGUAGCGGUGAAAUGCGCAGAUAUCAGGAGGAACACCGGUGGCGAAGGCGGUUCUCUGGGCAUUAACUGACGCUGAGGAGCGAAAGCAUGGGGAGCGAACAGG
Molecule: ribosomal RNA, 253 nt
Filed under: uncultured bacterium
Lineage: Bacteria
Description: partial 16S ribosomal RNA
Rfam family: Bacterial small subunit ribosomal RNA
Source: RNAcentral